RNAcentral lists this ribosomal RNA (497 nucleotides) under uncultured bacterium. Its description in RNAcentral is "partial 16S ribosomal RNA". It matches the Rfam family "Bacterial small subunit ribosomal RNA", at positions 28 to 507 of the family's 1533-position model. The record is from RNAcentral.
GAUGAACGCUGGCGGCGUGCCUAAUACAUGCAAGUCGAGCGAACAGAUGCGGAGCUUGCUCCUCUGACGUUAGCGGCGGACGGGUGAGUAACACGUGGAUAACCUACCUAUCAGACUGGGAUAACUUCGGGAAACCGGAGCUAAUACCGGAUAAUAUAUUGAACCGCAUGGUUCAAUAGUGAAAGACGGUUUUGCUGUCACUUAUAGAUGGAUCCGCGCCGCAUUAGCUAGUUGGUAAGGUAACGGCUUACCAAGGCAACGAUGCGUAGCCGACCUGAGAGGGUGAUCGGCCACACUGGAACUGAGACACGGUCCAGACUCCUACGGGAGGCAGCAGUAGGGAAUCUUCCGCAAUGGGCGGAAGCCUGACGGAGCAACGCCGCGUGAGUGAUGAAGGUCUUCGGAUCGUAAAACUCUGUUAUUAGGGAAGAACAAAUGUGUAAGUAACUAUGCACGUCUUGACGGUACCUAAUCAGAAAGCCACGGCUAACUACGUG